AGUGAACGCUGGCGGUAGGCCUAACACAUGCAAGUCGAACGGCAGCACAGUAAGAGCUUGCUCUUACGGGUGGCGAGUGGCGGACGGGUGAGGAAUACAUCGGAAUCUACUUUUUCGUGGGGGAUAACGUAGGGAAACUUACGCUAAUACCGCAUACGACCUACGGGUGAAAGCAGGGGAUCUUCGGACCUUGCGCGAUUGAAUGAGCCGCUGUCGGAUUAGCUAGUUGGCGGGGUAAAGGCCCACCAAGGCGACGAUCCGUAGCUGGUCUGAGAGGAUGAUCAGCCACACGGGAACGGGGCCACGGUCCAGACUCCUACGGGAGGCAGCAGUGGGGAAUAUUGGACAAUGGGCGGAAGCCUGAUCCAGCCAGACCGCGUGGGUGAAGAAGGCCUUCGGGUUGUAAAGCCCUUUUGUUGGGAAAGAAAAGCAGCAGGUUAAUACCCAGCUGUUCUGACGGUACCCAAAGAAUAAGCACCGGCUAACUUCGUG
Molecule: ribosomal RNA, 492 nt
Filed under: uncultured bacterium
Lineage: Bacteria
Description: partial 16S ribosomal RNA
Rfam family: Bacterial small subunit ribosomal RNA
Source: RNAcentral